GGAGAGAGAAACAGGGACA
RNAcentral lists this small nuclear RNA (19 nucleotides) under Arabidopsis thaliana (thale cress). RNAcentral describes it as "snRNA_12955". The record is from RNAcentral. Lineage: Eukaryota; Viridiplantae; Streptophyta; Magnoliopsida; Brassicales; Brassicaceae.